This 3553-nucleotide long non-coding RNA is filed under the name Sus scrofa (pig). RNAcentral describes it as "lncRNA (ENSSSCG00050061405.1)". The record is from RNAcentral. Lineage: Eukaryota; Metazoa; Chordata; Mammalia; Artiodactyla; Suidae.
AGAGCGGGUGGGCGGGGGGGGGGUCAGGCCCCAGCUUGGGCCGUGCACGCCGGGCGGGGGGGGGGGGGGAGGGGGGCCCCCCCCCCCCCCCCCGGCCGGGGGGGUCGCCUCCCGGCGCGCGCUCCCCGCCCCCUCUCCGGGCGGCGGCGGCGGCGCAGGGGAAGGGGCGGGCGGGGGCCCGGCUCUCUCCUCCCACCGCGCUCCCGCCGCUCCACGCUUCCAGGCACAGAGCAAGCGGCGGCAAGGCGGCGCGGGCCGGCCCGGCUUCCUUCUCGCCGCCGGCGCCGUUCCCGGACGGGCACGCGCCGCGAUGGCCUCGGCGGAGCGGGGCUGAGCCCGCCGCCUGCCCGCCCGCGGACCCGCAGCCCCGCAGCCCCCGGCCGCCUCCGGCCCAACCAUGGCGAAGCAGUACGAUGUGCUGUUCCGGCUGCUGCUGAUCGGGGACUCCGGGGUGGGCAAGACCUGCUUGCUUUGCCGCUUCACCGACAACGAGUUCCACUCCUCGCACAUCUCCACCAUCGGUGUUGACUUUAAGAUGAAGACUAUAGAGGUAGAUGGCAUCAAAGUGCGGAUACAGAUCUGGGACACAGCAGGGCAGGAGAGAUAUCAGACCAUCACAAAGCAGUACUAUCGACGGGCCCAGGGAAUAUUUUUAGUCUACGACAUUAGCAGUGAGCGCUCCUACCAGCACAUCAUGAAGUGGGUCAGUGAUGUGGAUGAGUAUGCACCAGAAGGUGUUCAGAAGAUCCUUAUAGGAAAUAAGGCCGAUGAGGAGCAGAAACGCCAGGUGGGAAGAGAGCAGGGGCAGCAGGAAUGUUCUUCUCUUGCAGCUGGCUAGAGAGUAUGGCAUGGACUUCUAUGAAACAAGUGCCUGCACCAACCUCAACAUUAAAGAGUCCUUCACGCGCCUGACGGAGCUGGUGCUGCAGGCCCACAGGAAAGAGCUGGAAGGUCUGCGGACGCACGCCAGCCAUGAGUUGGCCUUGGCGGAGCUGGAGGAGGAGGAGGGCAAACCCGAGGGUCCGGUGAACUCUUCGAAAACCUGCUGGUGCUGAGGGUCCCACGUGGAGCACCCGCACAAUCCCCUCUCCCCGCAGGAGGCCUGCGGGCAUACAGGGAGCCUGGGCCUCGCCCUGCUUCUCCUCUCCUUUGGGUGGCCUGUGGCAUCUCAGCCGCUGCUUCUCCCCCUGCCUGGCACCAAGAGCAGCUCCGCUGUCUUGUCUGAACAGCCUUGCCUCCGGCCCUCCACCGGGGUGUCCCCUCCAGCCUGUUUCCCCAGCCACAGGUCUGCUACUGGUCCCGACGUGCCAUGAGCACUGCCUCACUGCCCCAGCUCCCAGGCAAUGGCCGAGUCUGGAGUCAAGGCCUCUGUAAGGCUCCAUCUCUUUCAGUGCAUCUGGUGUCCUCUGCUUUUUCUCGCUUCUUCCCACUUCUCUCUCUCUGUACCCCCGCCUCCUGCUGUGUUCAUAUCAACCUUUCCCACCCCCCGCGCCAUGCCAUGUGGCUGCUAGUGUGGCCCUUCUCCCCACCCCCCCAGCCUUGGCCUAUCCCAGGGAAUGGACUCAGGCUCAGGGGCGAGUUUCCUGCUCUGCUCCAGGGAGAACCUGUGCCCUGCUUGGUGGGCACUUCUUCCUGUCCUCCCCGCCCCACCGCCCUGUCUUGUGCCAUGGGCCUGCCUCCCCAGGCACCGGGGAAAGAGGAAUGUCAAGGGAGGAAGGAAAGCUCAAACUGGUGGUCCCCACGCCUGGGGCUUUCCUGCCUCCUGCCCCCAGCGUCAGCCUUGCUUGGCUGCCUGCCAGCUGCCAUUGGGGAAACUGAGCUUGAGGCAGGUGCUUCUGAGAAGAAAAAAAAUGAUGAGGGGUGGCAGGGACAAAAAGUCACCUCCAUUCUCUACCUCCCAGGCAGCAUGUAUACCAUUUCUACUCCCCUGGGCUCCUGAAUUGAAAGAUGCGGACCAAGCCUGGAGGGCACUGUGGGGGCAAGGAAAGCCUCGGGGCCAACAACAAGCUCCAGAAAGGGGACUGUUUGGUAGUGAAGGACCAGCUCCUAUCUAUCAGGUUAAGAGCCAGGGAGAGCAGGCAGGGUAGCAGUUUGCACACGAGAGGGGAAUUCAGCAACAGGAGGGAUUCCUGGGCCUCCUCUUCCAUUUCUUGUGUGAGAAAGGUGUUUCCCCACCACCCCUGGCAGUGAGAGGUGACAGAACCACCCUGGGGGGCUUUCUCUGAGCCCAGCCUGGGGCUCUCGAGGUUUUCCUGAGAACCAAAGUUUGCGGGACAAGGGCAGGGAGCUCAUGGGAAGAAAGCAAGCGAGCCCUGGGUAGGGAUGCUUGGUGCUGUUCCCUUCAGCCUUCAAGGCAAGUGCCCAUCUUGCCCCUCUGGCUCCUGAGUCAGAGGCUUGAGGUUUGCCAGCUGCACUGUGGCUUCAGGUGGAAGGAAGCAGACUUGCUCCUCCAGGGCCCUUUGUUCAGGAAGAUGUUUCUUUAACCCCAUAUGGUCCAAGAGUAGCUUAAGGAGGCCCUUUAAGGAGGGAAUGAGUCAGUUACCAGCUCUAGGGAGGAGGGUCAGUCUUAAGUGUGUUGCAUGGCUGGAGCUGGAGCUAAAACACAGAACUGAGCAUCCAACACUCAUUGAUUAAGGACCAAAAUCCAGGAUACACACACGUAAAGGAUCAAGAGUCCCACUUCCUUAUUCUGCCGAAGAAAAAAGGUGAGGGAUGAACUCACCGAACCUUUCCUCCUGGUUCUUACCAGAUCAGGAGAGGGUAGCUCAGGGUGUAGGAACGGAGACGGGUCGGCAUGGUGAAAGGAAGAGGAGGGCAGGAAUAGUUAUAAAUCAUCGACUAAUGAGACAUGUAGAGCUGCCUCUUUAGAAUGAAGUCACAACCAUAGCUUAGGAGGCUUCCUUGACAACUGACUCCUCAGGCGUCAAGACAUAUGCAGUCGCACAGAGGGGGGGUGGGGAGGUCAGCAGUGCCAACCCUCGGCGUGCCCUCAGCCAGGGCCUCGAGGAAGGGAAGUUAUCCUGGCCAUCAGCUCCACCUGUGGAUCAGAAUCUCCACUUCCCUCAAGAUCAGGCUGAGCACCAUUGCCUUUCUCUCCCAGCCCCCUCAGGAAAGAGGGGCUGUAUUUUUACUGUAUUCUUGGGUUUUGGAAGGGAAAACUUGAGGCUGGGAUCCUACGGCCUGGUAAGCCCCAUCCACAAGGGCCACAGUCAGGGAGAGGUUGAGGGCAGGAGGGUUGGGAUUUUAGGGUGCAGCUAUGCUCACCAGGUACCAGAGUCAGCUUCUCACCCCUAAACUCCAGUGCAGGAGGUGGCCUGGGACCUGGCCUUUGGCCCAGACUGUUGAGCAGGCACACCUGCCUGUUGGCUCCUCACCACCUGUGCACCUGUUGCCUCGAGACUCAGCCCCAGGCACUCCACCUGCUCUAGAGCCCCACCAUCUCCCUGUGAUGGGUGAACUUGUGUGCUGUGUCUCGGGUCCAGUAUAUAAAUUGUGAGCAGGGUUCAUCUAUUUUAAACACAGAUGUUUACAAAAUAAAGAAUAUUUCAAAUCA